Molecule: ribosomal RNA, 251 nt
Filed under: uncultured bacterium
Lineage: Bacteria
Description: partial 16S ribosomal RNA
Rfam family: Bacterial small subunit ribosomal RNA
Source: RNAcentral
GUUCCUGGCUCAGGAUGAACGCUAGCUACAGGCUUAACACAUGCAAGUCGAGGGGCAGCGGGAUUGAAGCUUGCUUCAAUUGCCGGCGACCGGCGCACGGGUGAGUAACGUGUAUCCAACCUUCCGUACACUCAGGGAUAGCCUUUCGAAAGAAAGAUUAAUACCUGAUGGUAUCUUAAGCACACAUGUAAUUAAGAUUAAAGAUUUAUCGGUGUACGAUGGGGAUGCGUUCCAUUAGGUAGUAGGCGGGG